This 403-nucleotide ribosomal RNA is filed under the name uncultured bacterium. RNAcentral describes it as "partial 16S ribosomal RNA". It matches the Rfam family "Bacterial small subunit ribosomal RNA", at positions 30 to 526 of the family's 1533-position model. The record is from RNAcentral.
AUUGAACGCUGGCGGCAGGCCUAACACAUGCAAGUCGAGCGAGCGGCGGACGGGUGAGUAAUGUAUGGGGACUGCCCGAUAGAGGGGGAUAACUACUGGAAACGGUAGCUAAUACCGCAUACUAUCGGAUAACCCAUAUGGGAUUAGCUAGUAGGUGAGGUAAUGGCUCACCUAGGCGACGAUCCCUAGCUGGGCUGAGAUGAUGAUCAGGCAAAGUUGGACUGAGAGACGGGCCGGACUCCUACGGAGGCAGCAGUGGGGAAUAUUGCACAAUUGGCGCAAGCCUGACGCAGACAUGCCGCUUGUAGGAAGAAGGCCAUAAGGUUGGAAAUUACUUUCAGUGGGGAGGCGUUACCGACAGAAGAAGCACCGGCUAACUCCGUGCCAGCAGCCGCGGUAAUAC